RNAcentral lists this long non-coding RNA (817 nucleotides) under Nicotiana tabacum (common tobacco). RNAcentral's name for it is "long non-coding RNA (NTAB_LNC007552)". The record is from RNAcentral. Lineage: Eukaryota; Viridiplantae; Streptophyta; Magnoliopsida; Solanales; Solanaceae.
UAAAGAGUUAUAUGGUGUUCUACCUAUAAAAUUAAAGAUCUUUAAGUCUAGUUUCUAAAUAUUCAAACCGUUUGUUAUUUUGAUAUUUAUACAAGACGUUAUGGGUGUUUAAAUAGAAGGUGUCCAACAAGGAACAAUUUUAAUAGGAUGUACAACUUGUAUAGCACAAGUGCAAGGUACAACUCGACGAAGCACGGGCAGAUUCUUUUAAACACGGAUUUGGCUUAUUUCUUUCAUUUCUUUCAUUUGGCUUGGAUUAUUUUGGAGAGAAUUUCAAGGGGGAUUUCAUCAAGCAUCAAAGGUGAGUUGUUUCUACUUAUUUCCAAGUUAAAUACAUGGAUUAGAGCUGAGAACUCAAGUAAUUUAUGGACAAAAAUUGUGGUUUAGGGCUUGAAACUCAAGAGAAUUAAAUGGUGAUUUGAGGGGUCAAAUGAACUCCGAUUUUUGUGAAUUUGGUAUGUAUAGACUCGUGGCGAGAUAAGGGUCGUGUUGAUGUAAAAAUUUCUGAAUUUCGAGACAUGGGCCCGGGGCUCGGGUUUUGCGAAUUUCGGGAUUUUCGACAUUUUUCGAGUCUUUUCGAUUGGGUUAUAUUCCCUUAUCCUAUUGUAACGUAUUCGUUGUAGUUUUGACUAGAUUCGACGCGCGAAGAGGUCGAUUCAAGAGGAAAGGGCAUUGCGGACUAGUCUACGGUCGGUUAGAGGUGAGUAAUAGAUGUAAAUUCUAUUAUGAGGGUUUGAAACCCCGGAAUUUCACAUCGUAACGCUAUAUUGAGGCGUGACACACACUCCAUGGCGAGUGCGGGGUCGGAUACUACUGG